CCUACGGGAGGCAGCAGUGGGGAAUAUUGCACAAUGGGGGAAACCCUGAUGCAGCGACGCCGCGUGAGUGAAGAAGUACUUCGGUAUGUAAAGCUCUAUCAGCAGGGAAGAAAAUGACGGUACCUGAGUAAGAAGCCCCGGCUAACUACGUGCCAGCAGCCGCGGUAAUACGUAGGGGGCAAGCGUUAUCCGGAUUUACUGGGUGUAAAGGGAGCGCAGACGGUUGCGCAAGUCUGAAGUGAAAUCCCGAGGCUUAACCACGGGACUGCUUUGGAAACUGUGCGACUUGAGUAUCGGAGGGGCAGGCGGAAUUCCUAGUGUAGCGGUGAAAUGCGUAGAUAUUAGGAAGAACACCGGUGGCGAAGGCGGCCUGCUGGACGAAAACUGACGUUGAGGCUCGAAGGCGUGGGGAGCAAACAGGAUUAGAUACCCUGGUAGUC
Molecule: ribosomal RNA, 440 nt
Filed under: uncultured Moryella sp.
Lineage: Bacteria; Bacillati; Bacillota; Clostridia; Lachnospirales; Lachnospiraceae
Description: bacterial SSU rRNA
Rfam family: Bacterial small subunit ribosomal RNA
Source: RNAcentral